Long non-coding RNA from Drosophila ananassae, 566 nucleotides. RefSeq lists it as uncharacterized. NCBI's taxonomy places the organism in Eukaryota, Metazoa, Arthropoda, Insecta, Diptera, Drosophilidae. The record is from RefSeq and is a predicted model, not a curated record. The transcript has 2 exons.
CACAAGUGUGCAACUAUGUACGCUGACUAAAGUGUUGCGGGAAAGCUGACUCCACAUCUGCCGACACCACACACGCCGACGCCACACACGCUGACACCGCGUAUAGAACUGGAGUGGGAGAUCAGCCUAUUCCGAACCGAUGACCGGAGGGUCUCAACUCGGCGUAGCCAGUCUUCUCCGGACCGCUGAGCAUCUAAGCCGAACUUGGACAUCUUUAACCCAAUCUAAGAAUUCUACACUUAAGAACCCAUUCUUAACACACUUUCGAACAAUUGUUAACUUAAGAAACCAACAAUAAAUUGUAAUCACGCACAUCGAACCAUGAACGGAGUAUUCUUAAUCAGAAGAAGUUGAAGACGAACACGAGCACUCCAAGACACACAGAUAUCGACACACAGAUAGUUGUAAAGGGUGAGUAAAGCGCUUCCUCUCUUCCUCCUCAAGACAAUAAAAUCAGACAAAAUUGAAUAUUCCCCUUAACAUAAACACAAUCAAUAAAAAAUCCAAACACCAUUUACAAAUAUCGAAAAUUAUAUUGUAAGCCAAAAACAACUAUUAAAAAUACA